ACUCCUACGGGAGGCAGCAGUGGGGAAUCUUGGACAAUGGGGGCGAACCCUGAUCCAGCCAUGCCGCGUGAGUGAAGAAGGCCUUAGGGUCGUAAAGCUCUUUCGCCUGUGAAGAUAAUGACGGUAGCAGGUAAAGAAACCCCGGCUAACUCCGUGCCAGCAGCCGCGGUAAUACGGAGGGGUUAGCGUUGUUCGGAAUUACUGGGGCGUAAAGCGCGCGUAGGCGGACCAGAAAGUUGGGGGUGAAAUCCCGGGGCUCAACCCCGGAACUGCCUCCAAAACUCCUGGUCUUGAGUUCGAGAGAGGUGAGUGGAAUUCCGAGUGUAGAGGUGAAAUUCGUAGAUAUUCGGAGGAACACCAGUGGCGAAGGCGGCUCACUGGCUCGAUACUGACGCUGAGGUGCGAAAGUGUGGGGAGCAAACAGGAUUAGAUACCCUGGUAGGACAGUG
This 449-nucleotide ribosomal RNA is filed under the name uncultured bacterium. RNAcentral describes it as "bacterial SSU rRNA". It matches the Rfam family "Bacterial small subunit ribosomal RNA", at positions 335 to 799 of the family's 1533-position model. The record is from RNAcentral.